CGAGGAAUAUUGGUCAAUGGGCGCAAGCCUGAACCAGCCAUCCCGCGUGCAGGAAGACGGCCCUAUGGGUUGUAAACUGCUUUUCCAGGGGGAGAAACUUGCGCACGUGUUGCGCAAUUGACGGUACCCUGGGAAUAAGCAUCGGCUAACUCCGUGCCAGCAGCCGCGGUAAUACGGAGGAUGCGAGCGUUAUCCGGAUUCAUUGGGUUUAAAGGGUGCGUAGGCGGACUGUUAAGUCAGUGGUGAAAUCCUGCAGUUUAACUGCAGAACUGCCAUUGAUACUGAUAGCCUUGAGUUUGGUUAAGGUAGGCGGAAUGUGUAAUGUAGCGGUGAAAUGCUUAGAUAUUACACAGAACACCAAUUGCGUAGGCAGCUUACUGAGCCGACACUGACGCUGAGGCACGAAAGCGUGGGGAUCGAACAG
Molecule: ribosomal RNA, 424 nt
Filed under: uncultured bacterium
Lineage: Bacteria
Description: bacterial SSU rRNA
Rfam family: Bacterial small subunit ribosomal RNA
Source: RNAcentral